This 403-nucleotide ribosomal RNA is filed under the name uncultured bacterium. RNAcentral describes it as "bacterial SSU rRNA". It matches the Rfam family "Bacterial small subunit ribosomal RNA", at positions 355 to 774 of the family's 1533-position model. The record is from RNAcentral.
UAGGGAAUCUUGCACAAUGGGCGAAAGCCUGAUGCAGCGACGCCGCGUGGGGGAUGAAGGCCUUCGGGUUGUAAACCCCUUUCAGUAGGGACGAAAAUGACGGUACCUACAGAAGAAGCUCCGGCCAACUACGUGCCAGCAGCCGCGGUAACACGUAGGGAGCAAGCGUUGUCCGGAUUUAUUGGGCGUAAAGAGCUCGUAGGUGGUUCGGUAAGUCGGAUGUGAAAACUCAAGGCUCAACCUUGAGACGCCAUCCGAUACUGCUGUGACUUGAGUUCGGUAGAGGAGUGUGGAAUUCCUGGUGUAGCGGUGAAAUGCGCAGAUAUCAGGAGGAACACCGACAGCGAAGGCAGCACUCUGGGCCGAUACUGACACUGAGGAGCGAAAGCAUGGGGAGCAAACA